AAUGUAUAGCAAUAGCUACUUGCAUCAUUGUAAAUAUGAUGCAAGAUCGACUAUGUCGAAUAAAAUUCUAGGUAGAAUUAUGAUAAUGACAUUGUCUGCCUAUGUGUCUUGACCAAAUUACGUGCCAGCAGUCGCGGUAAUACGUAGAAGACUAGUGUUAUUCAUGUUUAAUCGGUUUAAAGGGUACCUAGACGGUAAAUCAAGCCUAAAAGGAAAUAAAUGAAGGGACUAAUUUACUAGAGUUACUUAUGAGGGGGUAUUAAAGUACUGCUGGUGUAGAGAUGAAAUUCUGUCAUACCUCUUUUCAAUAGAAAAAUAAUGGCACAGGUAUAGGCAAAAGCAUCCCCUUAUGUGAUAACUGACGUUGAGGGACGAAGGCUUUGUGUAGCGAACAGGAUUAGAUACCCCAGUAGUCAAAGCAGAAAAUGAUGAAUGUCAUAGAUUAGAUAUAUAAGUUUAUUCUAUAAAUGAAAGUGUAAGCAUUCCACCUCAAGAGUAAUUUGGCAACAUUGGAACUGAAAUCAUUAGACCGUUUCUGAAACCAGUAGUGAAGUAUGUUGUUUAAUUUGAUGAUCCGCAAAAAACCUUACCACAAUUUGAAUAUUUAUAUCUUUUAUUGUUUUUCUUUUUAACUUUUUCUAAUUUUCUACUUAAAAGAAAAAAAUAACAAGAAAAAAGAGACAAUAAGAUAUAUUUACAAGCGUUGCACGGCUGUCUUCAGUUAAUGUCGCGAGACUAUGGUUAGUUCCAUUAAAUUAACGUAAACCCUUACUUUAUUUUUAUAUAGAGUAGUUCCCCGCUAUAUUGGAUAUGAUAACAGG
Molecule: ribosomal RNA, 821 nt
Filed under: Vulpicida tilesii
Lineage: Eukaryota; Fungi; Ascomycota; Lecanoromycetes; Lecanorales; Parmeliaceae
Description: SSU rRNA
Rfam family: Bacterial small subunit ribosomal RNA
Source: RNAcentral